Molecule: ribosomal RNA, 428 nt
Filed under: Bacillus subtilis
Lineage: Bacteria; Bacillati; Bacillota; Bacilli; Caryophanales; Bacillaceae
Description: bacterial SSU rRNA
Rfam family: Bacterial small subunit ribosomal RNA
Source: RNAcentral
AGAUGGGAGCUUGCUCCCUGAUGUUAGCGGCGGACGGGUGAGUAACACGUGGGUAACCUGCCUGUAAGACUGGGAUAACUCCGGGAAACCGGGGCUAAUACCGGAUGCUUGUUUGAACCGCAUGGUUCAAACAUAAAAGGUGGCUUCGGCUACCACUUACAGAUGGACCCGCGGCGCAUUAGCUAGUUGGUGAGGUAACGGCUCACCAAGGCAACGAUGCGUAGCCGACCUGAGAGGGUGAUCGGCCACACUGGGACUGAGACACGGCCCAGACUCCUACGGGAGGCAGCAGUAGGGAAUCUUCCGCAAUGGACGAAAGUCUGACGGAGCAACGCCGCGUGAGUGAUGAAGGUUUUCGGAUCGUAAAGCUCUGUUGUUAGGGAAGAACAAGUACCGUUCGAAUAGGGCGGUACCUUGACGGUACCUAA